CCUACGGGUGGCAGCAGUGGGGGAUAUUGCACAAUGGGGGAAACUCUGAUGCAGCGACGCAGCGUGAGUGAAGAAGGAUUUCGGUAUGGAAAGCUCUAUCAGCAGGGAAGAAAAUGACAGUACCUGACCAAGAAGCCCCGGCUAACAACGUUCCAGCAGCAGCGGUAAUACGUAGGGGGCAAGCUUUAUCCGGAUUGACUGGGUGUAAAGGGGGCGUAGACGGUUAUGUAAGUCUGUAGGUAAAGCAUGGGGCCCAACCCCGGGAUUGCAUUGGAAACUGUGUAACUGGAGUACAGGAGGGGCAGGCGAAAUCGCUGGUGUAGCGGUGAAAUGCG
Molecule: ribosomal RNA, 335 nt
Filed under: uncultured bacterium
Lineage: Bacteria
Description: partial 16S ribosomal RNA
Rfam family: Bacterial small subunit ribosomal RNA
Source: RNAcentral